This 207-nucleotide ribosomal RNA is filed under the name uncultured bacterium. RNAcentral describes it as "partial 16S ribosomal RNA". It matches the Rfam family "Bacterial small subunit ribosomal RNA", at positions 568 to 774 of the family's 1533-position model. The record is from RNAcentral.
CGCGUAGGCGGCAAGGCAAGUCAGAUGUGAAAUCCCCGGGCUCAACCUGGGAAUUGCAUCUGAAACUGCAGUGCUUGAGUCCUGGAGGGGAUAGUGGAACUCCCAGUGUAGCGGUGAAAUGCGUAGAUAUUGGGAGGAACACCUGCGGCGAAGGCGGCUAUCUGGACAGUGACUGACGCUGAUGCGCGAAAGCCAGGGGAGCGAACG